This 482-nucleotide ribosomal RNA is filed under the name uncultured bacterium. RNAcentral describes it as "partial 16S ribosomal RNA". It matches the Rfam family "Bacterial small subunit ribosomal RNA", at positions 30 to 507 of the family's 1533-position model. The record is from RNAcentral.
AUUGAACGCUGGCGGCAUGCUUUACACAUGCAAGUCGAACGGUAACAGGCCGCAAGGUGCUGACGAGUGGCGCACGGGUGAGUAAUGCAUCGGAACGUGCCCAGUCGUGGGGGAUAACUACUCGAAAGAGUAGCUAAUACCGCAUACGAUCUAUGGAUGAAAGCGGGGGACCGUAAGGCCUCGCGCGAUUGGAGCGGCCGAUGUCAGAUUAGGUAGUUGGUGGGGUAAAGGCUCACCAAGCCAACGAUCUGUAGCUGGUCUGAGAGGACGACCAGCCACACUGGGACUGAGACACGGCCCAGACUCCUACGGGAGGCAGCAGUGGGGAAUUUUGGACAAUGGGCGCAAGCCUGAUCCAGCAAUGCCGCGUGCAGGAAGAAGGCCUUCGGGUUGUAAACUGCUUUUGUACGGAACGAAACGGCUCUGGUUAAUACCCGGGGCUAAUGACGGUACCGUAAGAAUAGGCACCGGCUAACUACGUG